RNAcentral lists this ribosomal RNA (752 nucleotides) under Alteromonas sp. 9RSW-8. RNAcentral describes it as "bacterial SSU rRNA". It matches the Rfam family "Bacterial small subunit ribosomal RNA", at positions 160 to 914 of the family's 1533-position model. The record is from RNAcentral. Lineage: Bacteria; Pseudomonadati; Pseudomonadota; Gammaproteobacteria; Alteromonadales; Alteromonadaceae.
CUGCUAAUACCGCAUAAUGUCUACGGACCAAACGGGGCUUAGGCUCCGGCGCAAAGAGAGGCCCAAGUGAGAUUAGCUAGUUGGUAAGGUAACGGCUUACCAAGGCGACGAUCUCUAGCUGUUCUGAGAGGAAGAUCAGCCACACUGGGACUGAGACACGGCCCAGACUCCUACGGGAGGCAGCAGUGGGGAAUAUUGCACAAUGGGGGAAACCCUGAUGCAGCCAUGCCGCGUGUGUGAAGAAGGCCUUCGGGUUGUAAAGCACUUUCAGUUGUGAGGAAAAGUUAGUAGUUAAUACCUGCUAGCCGUGACGUUAACAACAGAAGAAGCACCGGCUAACUCCGUGCCAGCAGCCGCGGUAAUACGGAGGGUGCGAGCGUUAAUCGGAAUUACUGGGCGUAAAGCGCACGCAGGCGGUUUGUUAAGCUAGAUGUGAAAGCCCCGGGCUCAACCUGGGAUGGUCAUUUAGAACUGGCAGACUAGAGUCUUGGAGAGGGGAGUGGAAUUCCAGGUGUAGCGGUGAAAUGCGUAGAUAUCUGGAGGAACAUCAGUGGCGAAGGCGACUCCCUGGCCAAAGACUGACGCUCAUGUGCGAAAGUGUGGGUAGCGAACAGGAUUAGAUACCCUGGUAGUCCACACCGUAACGCUGUCUACUAGCUGUGUGUGUCUUUAAGGCGUGCGUAGCGAAGCUAACGCGCUAAGUAGACCGCCUGGGGAGUACGGCCGCAAGGUUAAAACUCAAAUGAAUUGAC